UACGGAGGGUGCAAGCGUUUGUCCGGAAUCACUGGGCGUAAAGGGCGCGUAGGCGGCUCAUGAAGGCUGUGGUGAAAGUCCGGGGCUCAACCUCGGAUCGGCCGUGGCGACUCGUGGGCUGGAGCACUGUAGAGGCGGGGUGGAAUUCCGGGUGUAGCGGUGGAAUGCGUAGAGAUCCGGAAGAACACCAGUGGCGAAGGCGGCCCGCUGGGCAGUGGGCUGACGC
Molecule: ribosomal RNA, 226 nt
Filed under: uncultured bacterium
Lineage: Bacteria
Description: partial 16S ribosomal RNA
Rfam family: Bacterial small subunit ribosomal RNA
Source: RNAcentral